RNAcentral lists this ribosomal RNA (157 nucleotides) under Pichia fermentans. RNAcentral describes it as "5.8S ribosomal RNA". It matches the Rfam family "5.8S ribosomal RNA". Rfam says of the family: 5.8S ribosomal RNA (5.8S rRNA) is a component of the large subunit of the eukaryotic ribosome. It is transcribed by RNA polymerase I as part of the 45S precursor that also contains 18S and 28S rRNA. The record is from RNAcentral. Lineage: Eukaryota; Fungi; Ascomycota; Pichiomycetes; Pichiales; Pichiaceae.
AAACUUUCAACAACGGAUCUCUUGGUUCUCGCAUCGAUGAAGAGCGCAGCGAAAUGCGAUACCUAGUGUGAAUUGCAGCCAUCGUGAAUCAUCGAGUUCUUGAACGCACAUUGCGCCCGCUGGUAUUCCGGCGGGCAUGCCUGUCUAAGCGUCGUUU